This 500-nucleotide ribosomal RNA is filed under the name uncultured bacterium. RNAcentral's name for it is "partial 16S ribosomal RNA". It matches the Rfam family "Bacterial small subunit ribosomal RNA", at positions 30 to 523 of the family's 1533-position model. The record is from RNAcentral.
AUUGAACGCUGGCGGAAUGCUUUACACAUGCAAGUCGAACGGCAGCACGGACUUCGGUCUGGUGGCGAGUGGCGAACGGGUGAGUAAUGUAUCGGAACGUGCCCAGUCGUGGGGGAUAACGUAGUGAAAAUUACGCUAAUACCGCAUACGAUCUAUGGAUGAAAGCGGGGGAUCGCAAGACCUCGCGCGAUUGGAGCGGCGGAUAUCAGAUUAGGUAGUUGGUGGGGUAAAGGCCCACCAAGCCAACGAUGUGUAGCUGGUCUGAGAGGACGACGAGCCAGAAUGGAACUGAGACACGGUCCAGACUCCUACGGGAGGCGGCAGUGGGGAAUUUUGGACAAUAGGCGAAAGCCUGAUCCAGCCAUUCGGCGUGCAGGAUGAAGGCCCUCGGGUUGUAAACUGCUUUUGUACAGAACGAAAAGGUUUCUACUAAUACUAGGAGCUCAUGACGGUACUGUAAGAAUAAGCACCGGCUAACUACGCGCCAGCCGCCGCCGUAA